GACGAACCGUACGAACGUUAUUCGGAAUCACUGGGCUUAAAGGGUGCGUAGGCUGCGCGGAAAGUUGGGUGUGAAAUCCCGGGGCUCAACCUCGGAACUGCAUCCGAUACUGGCAUGCUAGAGAAUUGGAGAGGAGUCUAGAAUUCACGGUGUAGCAGUGAAAUGCGUAGAGAUCAGGAGGAACACCGGUGGCGAAGGCGGCCUACUGGGCCAUCACUGACGCUGAGGCGCGAAAGCUCGGGGAGCGAACGGG
RNAcentral lists this ribosomal RNA (253 nucleotides) under uncultured bacterium. RNAcentral describes it as "partial 16S ribosomal RNA". It matches the Rfam family "Bacterial small subunit ribosomal RNA", at positions 524 to 776 of the family's 1533-position model. The record is from RNAcentral.